This is a long non-coding RNA of Misgurnus anguillicaudatus (oriental weatherfish), 612 nucleotides long. RefSeq lists it as uncharacterized. Lineage: Eukaryota; Metazoa; Chordata; Actinopteri; Cypriniformes; Cobitidae. The record is from RefSeq and is a predicted model, not a curated record.
UGUUCACCUCUAUCCAGCAGAUGGCGCUAAACUCCAGUGUUAUAAUGCGCUGCUGACAGCUCUCUGGCAGUUUUUCCAAUCCGAAGUCUUAUUUCAGAAUAUUAACAAAUAUACAGUUGACUAUUAUUCUUAGUUAAUCGUAAAUUGUUGUAAUAUGCACAUGAAGAGGCGAAUGCAAAUGCAAUGCUCAGUUAACUUAAAUAAACCAGGCUUGAUGACGUAUGCAGCCUGCAAAUGUGACCUGCGCAGGCAGCAGCCUUCGGAUUGAGAAACGGCCUCUGCGUUUGUCUUGUCAGAAGCCUGAAAUUCAAAUUAAAUAUUACGGCGACACAUCUUUCUGAAACAUCUCUAAAAAAAUUCAGAGCGUAUUAUUGAGUUUUAUUUGCGUAUUAUUUAUAAUUCCUAUAUGCUAUAAUUAGCACGGGAUAUGUCACACAUGCUAUCGUAUGGUUUCGGAAUAUUACUUUGAAGUCUUUUGAGGGCUUUGGAAGCAGGCAGUGCUCAGAAAAAUAGACUACCGACCAGACCCGCAUUUCUCCUUACUCCUGCGCUUUUUCUCCAGCAGCCUCUGCCUCUUCUCCUCGCGCAGCCGUGCCUCCUCUUCCUCCUGAU